GUGGGGAAUCUUCCGCAAUGGACGAAAGUCUGACGGAGCAACGCCGCGUGAGUGAAGAAGGUUUUCGGAUCGUAAAGCUCUUUCGUUAGGGACGAACGUGCUCUUUGUGAAUAAUGAGGAGUAAUGACGGUACCUAAAUAAGAAGCCACGGCUAACUACGUGCCAGCAGCCGCGGUAAUACGUAGGUGGCAAGCGUUGUCCGGACUUAUUGGGCGUAAAGCGCGCGCAGGCGGGAUAUCAAGUCUGUCUUAAAAGUGCGAGGCUCAACCUCGUGAGGGGACAGAAACUGGUAUUCUUGAGUGUCGGAGAGGAAAGUGGAAUUCCAAGUGUAGCGGUGAAAUGCGUAGAGAUUUGGAAGAACACCAGUGGCGAAGGCGACUUUCUGGACGAUGUCUGACGCUGAGGCGCGAAAGCUAGGGGAGCGAACGGGAUUAGAUACCCUGGUAGUCC
RNAcentral lists this ribosomal RNA (450 nucleotides) under uncultured bacterium. Its description in RNAcentral is "partial 16S ribosomal RNA". It matches the Rfam family "Bacterial small subunit ribosomal RNA", at positions 354 to 796 of the family's 1533-position model. The record is from RNAcentral.